GAUGAACGCUGGCGGCGUGCCUAAUACAUGCAAGUAGAACGCUGAAGCUUGGCGCUUGCACCGAGCGGAUGAGUUGCGAACGGGUGAGUAACGCGUAGGUAACCUGCCUCUUAGCGGGGGAUAACUAUUGGAAACGAUAGCUAAUACCGCAUAAAAGUCGAUAUCGCAUGAUAUUGAUUUGAAAGGUGCAAAUGCAUCACUAAGAGGUGGACCUGCGUUGUAUUAGCUAGUUGGUGAGGUAACGGCUCACCAAGGCGACGAUACAUAGCCGACCUGAGAGGGUGAUCGGCCACACUGGGACUGAGACACGGCCCAGACUCCUACGGGAGGCAGCAGUAGGGAAUCUUCGGCAAUGGGGGCAACCCUGACCGAGCAACGCCGCGUGAGUGAAGAAGGUUUUCGGAUCGUAAAGCUCUGUUGUAAGAGAAGAACGAGUGUGAGAGUGGAAAGUUCACACUGUGACGGUAACUUAACAGAAAGGGACGGCUAACUACGUG
Molecule: ribosomal RNA, 497 nt
Filed under: uncultured bacterium
Lineage: Bacteria
Description: partial 16S ribosomal RNA
Rfam family: Bacterial small subunit ribosomal RNA
Source: RNAcentral